GCCAGACUCCUACGGGAGGCAGCAGUCGGGAAUAUUGCGCAAUGGAGGAAACUCUGACGCAGUGACGCCGCGUGCAGGAAGAAGGUUUUCGGAUUGUAAACUGCUUUAGACAGGGAAGAAAAAAGACAGUACCUGUAGAAUAAGCUCCGGCUAACUACGUGCCAGCAGCCGCGGUAAUACGUAGGGAGCGAGCGUUAUCCGGAUUCAUUGGGCGUAAAGCGCGCGUAGGCGGCUGCCUAAGCGGAACCUCUAAUCCCGGGGCUCAACCUCGGGCCGGGUUCCGAACUGGGCGGCUCGAGUGCGGUAGAGGCAGGCGGAAUUCCCGGUGUAGCGGUGGAAUGCGCAGAUAUCGGGAAGAACACCGAUGGCGAAGGCAGCCUGCUGGGCCGUCACUGACGCUGAGGCGCGAAAGCUGGGGGAGCGAACAGGAUUAGAUACCCCGGUACU
This 447-nucleotide ribosomal RNA is filed under the name uncultured bacterium. Its description in RNAcentral is "partial 16S ribosomal RNA". It matches the Rfam family "Bacterial small subunit ribosomal RNA", at positions 330 to 794 of the family's 1533-position model. The record is from RNAcentral.